AUUGAACGCUGGCGGCAUGCUUUACACAUGCAAGUCGAACGCGGUUGAGGGGUAACUCUUGACUGAGUGGCGAACGGGUGAGUAAUACAUCGGAACGUACCUCGUUGUGGGGGAUAACCCACCGAAAGGUGGGCUAAUACCGCAUACGCCCCGAGGGGGAAAGCGGGGGACCUGAGAGGGCCUCGCGCGAUGGGAGCGGCCGAUGUCGGAUUAGCUAGUUGGUGGGGUAAAGGCCUACCAAGGCGACGAUCCGUAGCUGGUCUGAGAGGAUGAUCAGCCACACUGGGACUGAGACACGGCCCAGACUCCUACGGGAGGCAGCAGUGAGGAAUAUUGCGCAAUGGGCGAAAGCCUGACGCAGCGACGCCGCGUGGGGGAUGAAGGUUUUCGGAUUGUAAACCCCUUUCAUGAGGAAGAUAAAGUGGGUAACCACUUAGACGGUACCUCAAGAAGAAGCCACGGCUAACUUCGUG
RNAcentral lists this ribosomal RNA (473 nucleotides) under uncultured bacterium. Its description in RNAcentral is "bacterial SSU rRNA". It matches the Rfam family "Bacterial small subunit ribosomal RNA", at positions 29 to 507 of the family's 1533-position model. The record is from RNAcentral.